Molecule: long non-coding RNA, 1003 nt
Filed under: Mytilus galloprovincialis (Mediterranean mussel)
Lineage: Eukaryota; Metazoa; Mollusca; Bivalvia; Mytilida; Mytilidae
Source: RNAcentral
CAACAAACAAUUUAAAUUUAUUUAUUAUACAUGUAUCUAAUUUUAAAUGCCCCUAGAUAUCUAUAUAUCUAUCCUAAAUAUAUGUCAAUGUAAAAUGUUGUACCUUUACUUUAGAAGUGUAUCUAUAUUUACUGAUUUGUCUCCCUUGCCCUGAACAAGAUUAGGCCCGAGACUACAAUUAAUUCCUCUAUCAGUUCUUUAUAACGUUUUGUCGCAUUUAAAAAAAAUUUGCCUAUUCUUUUUGUCUAAUUUUUGGUGUGUGCAAUGUACAGUUCAAGUCCAAAAAUAUAUGCAAUUUUCAGAAAAAUUGCAUGUUUACAUCAUACAAAUUUGGCCAAUACACAUCCAUACCCCUAUAGGCAAGUCAAGAGAUGUUCCGAAAAGUGUAAAUACUACCUUUUUGCACCUGGCCGAAUCACUCUUUCCUUAUCAAAAUCAGUUAAAAUAAAACAUCCAAAAGUUUAUUUCAGCUCUCUUCUUUCAUUUCCACCCCAGAAAAACUAAGAAAUGUAUGAGAAAGGGAAAGAAAAAAUACACUAUAAUUAAAGGGAACUAUAUUCAUGGACAACGAAAAGUGGGGUCAUUAAUUGUGGUCUUGGGCCAGAUGUGAAGGGGAGAUAAUCUGAUAUCAAGUAAAACCUAGCUAUCAUAAAAAAGAUGAUCAUGUAUGAUAACUGCUUUACAUUCAGUCAUUCAUAUUUUCAUUACAAAUUUCAAAAGAAUUUAUUCCUACUUUUUUAUCAUGGAGAAAAUUUUGUUUGGAUCUCAGUAAGGGUCAAUAAAACAACAAAUAACAAAAUAUUCAUUAAAUUUUACUUUUUAUUAAGUGAACUUACCAGCAGCUUCUGCAUUCACUGUGUUAAAUAUUUCCAAUAAUUGCUCAGGUAUUUGAUGUCAAGUCUCAUAAUUGUAAAGUUUGGAAAAUUUAUUUUUGUGUAUUGACAGAUUUCAGUAAAAUGAAGUAGCAAAAAUAAGAAGAGUUUUCACAUUCAUUGAUAUGUUU